Molecule: long non-coding RNA, 2496 nt
Organism: Equus caballus (horse)
Lineage: Eukaryota; Metazoa; Chordata; Mammalia; Perissodactyla; Equidae
Source: Ensembl
AUUAACGAAUGUGGAAUAUUGAAAUCUCCAGCUAGUAUUGUUGAACAGUCUAUUUCUCCUUUCAAUCCUGUCAGUGUUUGCUCCAUAUAUGUUGGGGCUCUGUUGUUAGCUGCUUAUAUGUUUAUAAUUGUUAUAUCUCCUGAUAGAUUGACACUUUAAUUAACAUAUAACGUCCUCUUUUGUCUCUUGUAACCUUUUCUGACUUCAAGUUUAUUUUGUCUGAUAUUAUAGCCAUCCCAGGGCUCUCUGAGUUAUUAAUUACAUAAAAUGUCUUUUCCAUGCUUUGACUUUGAAACUCUUUGUGUCUUUGGAUCUAAAGUGAGUCUCUUGUAAACAGCAAAUAGGUAAAUCAUUUUAAAAAAUCCAUUCUGCCAAUCUCUGCCUUUUAAUUAGAGAGUUUAAUCCAUUUACAUUUAAAUAAUUCCUGAUAAGAAAGGACUCCUGCCAUUUGGCUAUUUGGUUUUUAUAUUAUACAUGUUUUGUUCCUCAAAUUCCUCCAUUUUUGCCUUCUUUUAUUUUUGAAUUUUGUAGUGUACCAUUCUGAUUCCCUUCUCAUUUCUCUUUCUGUAUAUUUUUUAUUUUCUUAGUUGUUAUGCUGGGGAUUUCAGUUGACAUCUUAAACUUAUGUCAGUCUAGUUUGAAUUAAUACCAACUUUGCCUCCAUAGUAUAGAAAAACUCUGCUUCUUUACAGCUCUGCCCCUCUUUUUGUUGUUAUUGUCACAAAUUACAUCUUUAUACAUGUGUCCAUCAACAUAGACUUAUAAUUAUUGUUUAAAUUCAUAUAUGAAUUAAGACAAGUUAUAGACCCAAAAGAUACUAAUACUGACUUUUAUAUUUACCUAUGUAGUUACCUUUGCUGGUAUUCUUUAUUUCUUCAUGUGGAUUCAAGUUUUUGUCUAGUGUCGUUUCAUUUCUGCCUCAAGGACUCCCUUGAGCAUUUCCUAAAGGGCAGACCAAUAGUGAUGAGCGUUCUCAGUUUUUGUUCAUCUGGAAAUGUCUUAAUUUCUCCUUUUUUUCUAAUGGGUAGUUUUACUGGAUAUAGAAAUCUUGUUAACAGUUUUGAUUUUUCUUUUUCAGCACUUUGAAUAUGUCAUCCCACUGCCUCUGGCCUUCAUGGUCUUUAAUGAGAAAUCAGCUAUUAAUCUUGUUAAUGAUUCCUUGUACAUAAUGAGUGGCUUCUCUCUUGCUGCUUUAAAUAUUCUCUCUUUAUCUUUGGCUUUCAACAACUUGAUUAUAAUGUAUAUUGGUGUCAAUCUCUUUCAGUUUAUUCCACUUGGAGUUUUUUAGAUGUAUAGAUUCAUGUUUUUAAUCAAAUUUGGAAAGUUUGUGUCCAGUUUUUUAAAAUAUUCUUUCUUCCCCUUCCCUACCCAGUUUGGGACUACCAUUUUGUGUAUGUUUGUAUGCUUGAAAGUGCCCCACAGGUCUCUUAGGCUCUAUUCAUUUUUCUUUCUUUUCCUUUCUGCUCCUCAGACUGGAUAAUUUCAUUGCACGUAUCUUCAAGUUUCCCAGUUGUUUCUUCUGCCUGUUCAAAUCUGUUGUGUCCUCUAGUGAAUUUUUUAUUUCAAUUAUUGUACUUUUCUGAUCCAAAAUUUCUAUUUGGUUCCUUUUUUAUAAAUUAUUUUCCUUUAUUGAUAUUUUCUAUUUGGUGAGGCAUUGUUCUCAUGGUUUCCUUUAGCUCUUUGAGCAUAUGUAAAAUAAUUUAUUUAAAAUUGUUGUCUAUUCAGUCCAAUGUCUGAGCUUCUUCAGGGAUAGUUUCUAUUAAUUUCUCUUUUUCCCCUGUGUAUGAACCAUACUUUCUUGUUUCUUUGCACACCUUGUAAUGUUCUGUUGAAAACCAGACAUCUUUAAUAUUACAAGAUGGCAACUCUGGAAAUCAUCUUUGCUCCCUUUCCUAGAGUUUGUUUUUGCUGCUUGUAAUAGUUCUUGAUAUUAGUUUGUUUAGUGACUGUUCUGAACUAAUCUUGUAAGGUCUAUAUUCUUCAUCAUGCAUAGUCACAGAAGUCUCUGUUCCAUUGGUUUGUCGUGAGCUAGUGAUUUGACCAAGAUUUCUUUUGCCUGGAACCAAAAAUAACCCCCUAGUCUUUGCAGAUGUACUGUGUGUGUGUGUGUGUGUGUGUGUGGUGGCACACCGUCAACACUUAGGCAUUUUGUAGGUAAGCCUUAGCCUUCACUUCCUGCUUGCACAGAGCCCGAAGGUCAGUCAGAGGUGAGGCUUUGGAACCUUAUCUACUAAAAACUCAUAAAGAUAUAAAUAAAGAGUAUUUAUUGAAGCCUUAGCUUUGGUGACAAAAGUACUUCAACAUCUUAAAUCAUUUAUGUGUAUAUCUAUAUAUAUCUCGUUUCAUAUUAUCCUAUCAUUAUAUCCUAUCAUAUAAAGGAGGAUACUUUAACUCUUAAGAGGAAUGAGUUUGCUUUUUAUCUACUGUCUUGAAGUGCUGUCCAUGGUAAAUUGUUAUAUGAAAAAAGUAAAAUGGUUUAAAUAAAAUAAUGAAAAC